UACGUAUGGGGCAAGCGUUAUCCGGAUUUACUGGGUGUAAAGGGAGCGUAGGCGGCCUGGCAAGCCUGAUGUGAAAUACCGGGGCCCAACCCCGGGGCUGCAUUGGGAACUGCCAGGCUGGAGUGCCGGAGAGGCAGGCGGAAUUCCUAGUGUAGCGGUGAAAUGCGUAGAUAUUAGGAGGAACACCAGUGGCGAAGGCGGCUUACUGGACUGUAACUGACGUUGAGGCUCGAAAGCGUGGGGAGCAAACAGG
This 253-nucleotide ribosomal RNA is filed under the name uncultured bacterium. RNAcentral's name for it is "partial 16S ribosomal RNA". It matches the Rfam family "Bacterial small subunit ribosomal RNA", at positions 524 to 776 of the family's 1533-position model. The record is from RNAcentral.